RNAcentral lists this ribosomal RNA (604 nucleotides) under uncultured Alphaproteobacteria bacterium. Its description in RNAcentral is "bacterial SSU rRNA". It matches the Rfam family "Bacterial small subunit ribosomal RNA", at positions 329 to 923 of the family's 1533-position model. Lineage: Bacteria; Pseudomonadati; Pseudomonadota; Alphaproteobacteria. The record is from RNAcentral.
CAGGUCACUCCUACGGGAGGCAGCAGUGGGGAAUCUUGCGCAAUGGCCGAAAGGCUGACGCAGCGACGCCGCGUGUGGGAUGACGGUCUUCGGAUUGUAAACCACUGUCAGGGGGAACGAAUGCGGGACGUCGAAUAGGCGAUCUCGAGUGACGGUACCUUGAUAAGAAGCACCGGCUAACUACGUGCCAGCAGCCGCGGUAAUACGAAGGGGGCUAGCGUUGCUCGGAAUUACUGGGCGUAAAGCGCACGUAGGCGGCUUUCUAAGUCGGGGGUGAAAUCCUGGAGCUCAACUCCAGAACUGCCUUCGAUACUGGCGAGCUUGAGUCCGGGAGAGGUGAGUGGAACUCCGAGUGUAGAGGUGAAAUUCGUAGAUAUUCGGAAGAACACCAGUGGCGAAGGCGGCUCACUGGCCCGGUACUGACGCUGAGGUGCGAAAGCGUGGGGAGCGAACCGGAUUAGAUACCCGGGUAGUCCACGCCGUAAACGAUGGGCACUAGGUGUGAGGGGUAUUGACCCCCUUCGUGCCGAAGCAAAUGUGUUAAGUGCCCCGCCUGGGGAGUACGCUCGCAAGGGUAAAACUUAAAGGAAUUGACGGGACUCUA